Non-coding RNA from Phaseolus vulgaris (common bean), 122 nucleotides. NCBI's taxonomy places the organism in Eukaryota, Viridiplantae, Streptophyta, Magnoliopsida, Fabales, Fabaceae. The record is from Rfam.
GGUGGAGACUUCCAAAGGGAUCGCAUUGAUCUAAUUCUUGCAUUCCCAUGCAGUUCUGGUUUUUUUAACCCUUUUUACUGCUUCACUGAUUUGGAUCAUGCGAUCCCUUAGGAAUUUUCCAU